AGAGUUUGAUCAUGGCUCAGGAUGAACGCUGGCGGCGUGCCUAACACAUGCAAGUCGAGCGGCAGCGCGAGUAGUUUACUACUUGGUGGCGAGCGGCGAACGGCUGAGUAACGCGUGGGAAUUUGCCCCAAAGUGAGGAAUAACUGCCCGAAAGGGUGGCUAAUGCCGCAUAUGAUCUUCGGAUUAAAGGAUUUAUCCGCUUUGGGAGAAGCCCGCGUCGGAUUAGGUAGUUGGUGAGGUAAUGGCUCACCAAGCCGACGAUCCGUAGCUGGUCUGAGAGGAUGACCAGCCAGACUGGAACUGAGACACGGUCCAGACUCCUACGGGAGGCAGCAGUGAGGAAUCUUCCGCAAUGGACGAAAGUCUGACGGAGCAACGCCGCGUGAGUGAUGACGGCCUUCGGGUUGUAAAGCUCUGUUAAUCGGGACGAAAGGCCUUCUUGCGAAUAGUGAGAAGGAUUGACGGUACCGGAAUAGAAAGCCACGGCUAACUACGUGCCAGCAGCCGCGGU
RNAcentral lists this ribosomal RNA (511 nucleotides) under TM7 phylum sp. oral clone 12-71. Its description in RNAcentral is "bacterial SSU rRNA". It matches the Rfam family "Bacterial small subunit ribosomal RNA", at positions 8 to 521 of the family's 1533-position model. The record is from RNAcentral. Lineage: Bacteria; Candidatus Saccharimonadota.